RNAcentral lists this unclassified non-coding RNA (253 nucleotides) under uncultured Caldilineaceae bacterium. RNAcentral describes it as "contains 16S-23S intergenic spacer region". It matches the Rfam family "Bacterial small subunit ribosomal RNA", at positions 524 to 776 of the family's 1533-position model. Lineage: Bacteria; Bacillati; Chloroflexota; Caldilineae; Caldilineales; Caldilineaceae. The record is from RNAcentral.
UACGUAGGUGACAAGCGUUAUCCGGAAUUACUGGGCGUAAAGCGCACGCAAGCGGUCUGUCAAGUCUGGCGUGAAAUCUCUUGGCUUAACCAGGAGCGGUCGCUAGAAACUGAUGGGCUUGAGGCGAUGAGAGGAGUGCGGAAUCCCCGGUGUAGUGGUGGAAUGCGUAGAUAUCGGGGGGAACACCUGUGGCGAAAGCGGCACUCUGGCGUCGGCCUGACGCUCAUGUGCGAAAGCGUGGGGAGCGAACGGG